Molecule: long non-coding RNA, 353 nt
Organism: Oenanthe melanoleuca
Lineage: Eukaryota; Metazoa; Chordata; Aves; Passeriformes; Muscicapidae
Exons: 3
Source: RefSeq, a predicted model, not a curated record
AGUGUGAGUUAAGGUGAAGGAAGUCUGCACCUGGAGUACAGUGGGAGCUCCUCAGUACAAAAGAGACACAGAUCUUCUGGGGUGAGUCCAGAAGAAGGCUACAAAGAUGCUCAAGGGACAGGAGCACCUCUAUUACAAGAAAAGGCUGAGUGAGCUGUGCCUGUUCAGCAUUGAGAUCUAGACAAGUAGCAUUGAUCCUCACCACUCAGCCAGCCAAGAGGAGACUAUGGAGUCCUAUCUCAAGGGAAACAAAAAGAGGAAGUCACUGCAGAAUGCAAACCUGUUUGUGACCCUCACUGCCAAGCACAGAAGAAAAGAAUCAAGAAGAUGCCAUUGGGAUCCAUGGAGUGGUG